RNAcentral lists this small nuclear RNA (22 nucleotides) under Arabidopsis thaliana (thale cress). RNAcentral's name for it is "snRNA_07089". Lineage: Eukaryota; Viridiplantae; Streptophyta; Magnoliopsida; Brassicales; Brassicaceae. The record is from RNAcentral.
ACAUGGAGGUUUAUCUUGCAAA